AGAUUCCACAUAUGCAACUAUCACUACAAAAAAAAGCUCAUUUUAUGGGGUUUUCUUGGUCGAUUAGUGGCAGCUUUCAACCCCCACAAAAUGAAUUGUGGCGGUUUGAAAAAACGUCACAUUUAUAUUCGCGACAAGCAUUUUUGCAGCACUUUUUUAAAACCUCCUCGACGACCGCCACAAAAUAAAUAUUAAUUUGUGGCAGUUUUAAAAAGAAAUUAGCGGCAAUUUUUAACCCCCAUAAUAUGAUUUUAACGUUUAAAAAAUUAAUUUAUGGGCAUUUAUAACCCCCACAAUUUGAUCUCAAUCUUUAAAAAAAAUUAAACAGUGGCAGUUAUAAACUGCCACAAUACCUAUUUAAAAAUUUUAAUUCAAAUAUUCAAUAAAUAAUUGUUUACUAAAUUAGUAACUCAAAUUCCAUUAGAAAUAUCUAUACUAACAAACAUUACAAACCAAAUUAUACAAACACAUAUAUGAUAACUUAAACACUAGACAAUCUAGAGACUAGAGUAGUUCCUCAACAAAUAAAUAUACAAAAGUGGAAAGUACUUGCUUGGUGAUUUGUAUUCCUGUCACUUAAUGAUACUCUUACAUCCAUGGGUGAAACACACUCGAUCUCCAUGUCACUAUGCUGAAACAAUGAAACAAAAGUAUUUGAUGAAAAACUUAUAAACAACUAGCAUUUUGACAGGAUAAAAGGACAAAUCUAGUUACAUAAAUAAAAGAAAGCUACAAAUCUUCUUACAAAUAAAUCUGUCACUUGGUUUAAUAGCAUUGAACAGAAGUUACUGGAUAUUCUCACAUGAAAAAGAAUUAAAGUAUAAAGUUAUUUCCUCGUAUAUCAUCAUAAAACUUACCUCCAAAAUAUUUCUACUUGGCAGCAUAAAAUCUAGCCAUAUAUUCAUGAAAAAAUCACCUACAUAACUAUUAAAGUAUACGCAUCCUCUAUAAGCUUUCUAGUAUUAAACAAACAAAGUAUGAGUUGCAAUCCAGCCCAAUGAUUCGCAGAAGUUAAACUUGGACCAGCUGAAAGCUAAUAACAACACUGGAAAUUGAAGUAGAGGAAAUGAACUAUAAAAUAUAAACUAAUAAUUAGUUAAAUAAACCAAGCCAGCGCCCAUAAUCUUCUGGAGCUAAUUUCAAGCAAAAGAAGCAACAAGAAAGUGCCAAAACUUGAACCGAAAAAUAGAAUUUAUGUACUAUCAGCUUACUUCAUCUCAUUUCUUGAGGUACUUAAUCAAAAAUUUUAAGGCAUGAAUUCCACUAGUAUCUAUAUCAAGUAAAGAAUCACUCUUACAAUAAGAAUGCCAAGGACCCUUACUAUUUCUGUAUAUUAUUGUACUGAUAUUUCUGUAAACAAUAGUCC
Molecule: long non-coding RNA, 1366 nt
Filed under: Nicotiana tabacum (common tobacco)
Lineage: Eukaryota; Viridiplantae; Streptophyta; Magnoliopsida; Solanales; Solanaceae
Description: long non-coding RNA (NTAB_LNC000940)
Source: RNAcentral